Molecule: long non-coding RNA, 370 nt
Filed under: Medicago truncatula (barrel medic)
Lineage: Eukaryota; Viridiplantae; Streptophyta; Magnoliopsida; Fabales; Fabaceae
Description: long non-coding RNA (MTRU_LNC002069)
Source: RNAcentral
ACUCACGAUAGCUGCUACUUUGAGCGAUUACUGAAAGGAAAUCAACUCAAGAAAGGCAAUAAUUGGUUCAUGUUCUAGUUAGACUGGCGCAACUCGGGACGGACAAAGUCUGCAUCUGCUGGCACUGAAAUGUCUAAUGUGGGUCUCAGUUCAGCACAAACUUCAAUGGCUCCGUGCACUGGGUCUGACAUGAAGUUGCUGAUUAAGUCCUGGUUGAUAGGAGCUCCAUUGUCCACUGCCACCAAAGCCUGCUGAGUUAGGAUAUAAUCAAAUCUGGGGGCCCAUUUCCUUGAACCUAACCUUGCUGUGGUUGAGCAGUUGUCAACCAUGAAAGAAACACCCCGAGCAUGCAUGAAUGGAUUCAAAGAAU